Molecule: ribosomal RNA, 566 nt
Filed under: uncultured bacterium
Lineage: Bacteria
Description: bacterial SSU rRNA
Rfam family: Bacterial small subunit ribosomal RNA
Source: RNAcentral
AAUGAACGCUGGCGGCGUGCUUAACGCAUGCAAGUCGCACGAGAACGUUUCAGCUUGCUGAAACUAGUAAAGUGGCGUACGGGUGAGUAACGCGUGGGUAAUCUACCUCCGAAUUGGGGAUAACAUUGCGAAAGCGAUGCUAAUACCGAAUGAUAUCUCAAUAACUCCGGUCUUUGAGAUCAAAGGUGGCCUCUCCAUGGAAGCUACUGUUUGGAGAUGAGCCCGCGUACCAUUAGCUUGUUGGUAGGGUAACGGCCUACCAAGGCGACGAUGGUUAGCUGGUCUGAGAGGAUGAUCAGCCACACUGGAACUGACACACGGUCCAGACUCCUACGGGAGGCAGCAGUGAGGAAUUUUGCGCAAUGGGGGAAACCCUGACGCAGCAACGCCGCGUGAGUGAUGAAGGCUUUCGGGUCGUAAAGCUCUGUCAAGUGAGAAGAACCUGCCUUUUGGUAAUAUCAUUGGGCACUGACGGUAUCACUGAAGGAAGCACCGGCUAACUCCGUGCCAGCAGCCGCGGUAAUACGGAGGGUGCAAGCGUUAUUCGGAAUCACUGGGCGUAAAGA